UACGGAGGGUGCAAGCGUUAUCCGGAUUUACUGGGUUUAAAGGGUGUGUAGGCGGGUUAUUAAGUCAGUGGUGAAAUCCCGGAGCUCAACUCCGGAACUGCCUUUGAUACUAAUAGCCUUGAAUUAUGUUGAGGUUGGCGGAAUAUAACAUGUAGCGGUGAAAUGCAUAGAUAUGUUAUAGAACACCGAUUGCGAAGGCAGCUGACUAAACAUAUAUUGACGCUGAGGCACGAAAGCGUGGGGAUCAAACAGG
Molecule: ribosomal RNA, 253 nt
Filed under: uncultured bacterium
Lineage: Bacteria
Description: partial 16S ribosomal RNA
Rfam family: Bacterial small subunit ribosomal RNA
Source: RNAcentral